GUCUUCGAAGAUCAGGGUGAUCAUCCCGUUUGUGUAGGUCGGCGUCAUAAUCAGCGGGACGGUGGGGGUUCAACUCCCUCCGGAGACG
Mycena metata is the source of this 88-nucleotide non-coding RNA. NCBI's taxonomy places the organism in Eukaryota, Fungi, Basidiomycota, Agaricomycetes, Agaricales, Mycenaceae. The record is from the annotation of a GenBank genome assembly.